CAAGCGAAUAAGCGCACACGGUGGAUGCCUAGGCGGUCAGAGGCGAUGAAGGACGUGGUAGCCUGCGAAAAGUGUCGGGGAGCUGGCAACAAGCUUUGAUCCGGCAAUAUCCGAAUGGGGAAACCCACUGCUUCGGCAGUAUCCUGCAGUGAAUUCAUAGCUGCUGGAAGCGAACCCGGUGAACUGAAAUAUCUAAGUAACCGGAGGAAAAGAAAUCAACCGAGAUUCCCUAAGUAGUGACGAGCGAACGGGGAGCAGCCCUUAAGCUGGAAUGGCUUUAGAAAAACAAUCUGGAAAGAUUGGCCAUAGAAGGUGAUAGCCCUGUAUUUAAAAGGGCCACUCCAGUGAAGACGAGUAGGGCGGGGCACGUGAAACCCUGUCUGAAUAUGGGGGGACCAUCCUCCAAGGCUAAAUACUCUACCGGCCAUU
RNAcentral lists this ribosomal RNA (429 nucleotides) under Xanthomonas axonopodis. RNAcentral describes it as "bacterial LSU rRNA". It matches the Rfam family "Bacterial large subunit ribosomal RNA", at positions 4 to 488 of the family's 2925-position model. The record is from RNAcentral. Lineage: Bacteria; Pseudomonadati; Pseudomonadota; Gammaproteobacteria; Lysobacterales; Lysobacteraceae.